This 248-nucleotide ribosomal RNA is filed under the name uncultured bacterium. RNAcentral's name for it is "partial 16S ribosomal RNA". It matches the Rfam family "Bacterial small subunit ribosomal RNA", at positions 790 to 1036 of the family's 1533-position model. The record is from RNAcentral.
GUAGUCCACGCCCUAAACGAUGUCAACUGGUUGUCGGGCCUUCAUUGGCUUGGUAACGUAGCUAACGCGUGAAGUUGACCGCCUGGGGAGUACGGUCGCAAGAUUAAAACUCAAAGGAAUUGACGGGGACCCGCACAAGCGGUGGAUGAUGUGGAUUAAUUCGAUGCAACGCGAAAAACCUUACCUACCCUUGACAUGGACGGAAGCUGGCCGAGAGGCCGGGGUGCCCCGAAAAGGGGGCGUCCGUA